Molecule: ribosomal RNA, 262 nt
Filed under: uncultured bacterium
Lineage: Bacteria
Description: partial 16S ribosomal RNA
Rfam family: Bacterial small subunit ribosomal RNA
Source: RNAcentral
AAUGAACGUUGGCGGCGUGGAUUAGGCAUGCAAGUCGAACGCUUCAUGUAGCAAUACAUGAGGAGUGGCGUAAGGGAGAGUAAUACAUAGUUAGCUGCCCUCGGGUCUGGGAUAGCGGCGGGAAACUGCCGGUAAUACCAGAUGAUAUCUUCGGAUCAAAGGUGUAAUUUCGCCCGAGGAGGUGACUGUGUCCUAUCAGCUUGUUGGCGGGGUAACGGCCCACCAAGGCUAAGACGGGUAUGGGGCGUGAGAGCGUGCCCCC